ACUCCUGCGCAAGCGCAGAGUGAAGAGCCGGAAACAGCUGAAGGGGUGAGGAAGAUAAUGGGGGAGGACCGCGAGGCGGCCUCUGUGAGCCUACAGGAACACGGAGUCGAUCAGCCAGACUCGCCUGUGCACAGAGCAGAUGAGGUGAGGGGGCUGCUGCGCAGGCGUUGUGUGGAGGCGGGCUGUAUUCGGCACAGGCCUUGUGCGGAGGAAGCCACGGCGCAGCCUCCACAAUGUGGAGGACACGCCCCCCCCCGCCCCCGACUUGGCGCAGGCGCGGUGUGAAGGAGGCCGGACUUGGCGCAGGUGCAGUGUGGAGAAGGCCUCCCCGGAGGUGCAGACGCAGGUAGGGCAAUGGCCGCUGGGGUCUGAUGGGCAGCCCAGCCCUCCUCGAGUUUCAUGGGCUUGGCCUGCUGGCCUCCUUCAACUGGUGCCGCCGCGUCGCCUACGGGCCUGGCCAUAUCCUCCCGCCUGGGCAGGCACUUCUGUGCUGCUUUUUAAUUGAGAUUUUUCCAUCCCCUGCACAGGAAGUGUCCUUUAAUUACUCCAAUGUUUUUAUAGUUACUUUUUAAGAAACAUUUUGGACUUUUCAAUACAGAAUGGUGUCAAAAUAAAGUUGAACCUUCUUCAGGUUAUAUUUUAGUGACUGAUAUAUGUUCCAAAGUUGUAUGGGAUUUCUAAAAUUCUAAUUUGAGUAUAUGCUACCACUCAUAAUUACGGUUAUUAUGUUGUUAUUGUAACUAAAUAUCCUUGUCAAUUGUGUCUUUGUGAGUACUCAGAGUCAUUUCCUCAGUUAAUUGCUUCAGGCUGAUGUAGUUUCUGAAAACUUCACAAGCACACAAAAUCGUAGAGCAUGGUGUCUUUUAGGAGGUUCAUGAAAGGAUGGCAAGGAUGCUGAAAAGCACUGUUGAAUGCAGGUUUCUAAUAACUUUAAAAUCACAUCAUUUGGACUGGGUAAGAAUUGCUGAAACUUUAAUGAAAAGACUGGCUUAUAAAAUUGCUAACCCAAAUAGAACAAAAAUUAAUUAAAUACCAAGGAAAUACUUCAGCAGGUUUGCAUUCUAAAUCAGCCAAUACUGAAAUUGCUUAGGUACUCAAUUUGAGUGAACUCCAUGGUCUAAGUCAAAUUACCUGUGGUAACCCAUCAGUUAUCCAUGCUAUGCACCGAAUUUGGAGAAGCAAUUGGUACCCAAGAGGACGUAAGUCCAGUGUUAAGCAUGGAUUCAUGGAGAACCAGGACAGCUGCCUUGUCCUUCCUGAAUCUUAAAGCUUUUGUUAUUAAAAGUUGUGCAUUCCAUGACUCAUCUGGAAAAGACAAAAUGAUCCAAAUUAAAUAUAUUGGUGUGGUGAUUAAUAAAUUGUUAAAAUAGUUUAUAACCAAUGUUUAGUUUGUCAAACCGUCAAAGCAUCACGUACGUUUGGCUACCUGAGGGGCCAUUUAAACAUUUAUAAAGGGAUUUCAUUCAGUUUUCAUUUUCAGUGUAUGUUUUCUGGUUGUAUGAAAGCCUUGCCAUGCAGGAGGACUAGUGUUAUAACAGUAGAUUAUUAUGCUUCAUUGUAUUUUCACCAAGUGAAGAGCUUUUUAUUGUUCACUGAGGACAAUCAAUCCGUUCACAGUUUAGAACCCAAAGAUGGAAUCUUUGAGAACAUCAGAGGAAAACUUCCCUUGCCAUCCACACUGCAAUAAAACAUCAGGAUCUUGAACCUUGUGGUCAUAAUCUCACACCUGAGGAGGGUCACUCCACACUCUUGGAAUGGUACAUUCAUUGAAACCCUAAGUUGGAUUGCACUACACACUUGGUUUUGCAAUUGACUCUGGGACUCAUGGCGUGACCGUGUGCCUGAGGCUGACUCAGAAUUCCCGCCAUCGCCCUCUGCUGCUCACCUGGCCAUCCUCGGCACCUGGUUGGAAAUGGAAUUUGGACACUGCAUUGCGUUCGCCUUGUGCGGCAGCUGCAGACCCUCUCGCGACCGCCCCAGGAAACACUGGCAGCUAGUGAGAAUCUUCAGGCAGCCAUGAGCAGUGUGAGAUGAUUUUGCCAACUGCAGCAUCGUGUCCAUGCUCUGAGCAUGUCUGAGUGUCUGAGUGAGAGGGCUCAGCUAUGAUGCCCGGAAGCUUGGGCAUUGGGAGCUCUGAAGACCUCCUUGACAUUCACUCCCUGAAGUCCCCAGAGCCACCGCUCUUCCCUGACAUCUGUGCAAGGCAGGAGGUGCGGGGUCAGUUUCCACAAGGAAGAGUGACUCAUCCAGGCCGUUGUUCCAUGGAGAUAUGACUUUUGCAACAUUUGUAACUUUCCUGUUAGCCUAAAAUUAUCUCAAAAUACAAAGUUAAAAAAUGAAUCAAGUGAGUUAACACUGGAAUUUGCAGAUGAACACUGACGAUACCAACAAUAAUAAAAAUAAUAAUGCCCUUUGUUGAGUGUGGCAAGCAGUGUGCUAGCACCUCGUCAAA
Long non-coding RNA from Cebus imitator (Panamanian white-faced capuchin), 2452 nucleotides. RefSeq lists it as uncharacterized. NCBI's taxonomy places the organism in Eukaryota, Metazoa, Chordata, Mammalia, Primates, Cebidae. The record is from RefSeq and is a predicted model, not a curated record. The transcript has 4 exons.